UUUUUUAAAAAAAAAUUUGGAAAAAUAGAAAAACGGGAGAAAAUCCUGCAAGAAAAGGACUGCCCAUGCGGGCGCCUGUGCACCGUGCACACACACGUGCGUACCGCAGGUGUGGGACGUGCACACAGCGUGCAUGUCCUAUCCAUGCGUGCGGUGCGCGAUUAACCUUGCGCGCGUCAUGUCAUGCACAGGCGGAUUGUUUUCAUGUCACCUCGUGUGUGAACAAGUGCCGCACAUU
Molecule: long non-coding RNA, 238 nt
Filed under: Carica papaya (papaya)
Lineage: Eukaryota; Viridiplantae; Streptophyta; Magnoliopsida; Brassicales; Caricaceae
Description: long non-coding RNA (CPAP_LNC013612)
Source: RNAcentral